AUCUCUAUCCUAAUCUUAUCUCUAUCAUCAUCUUAUCUCUAUCCUCAUCUGAUUGAGUUUGUUUCAACUUGACCCAUUUGAAUAUGAUCUUAUCAUUGCUUAGGUGGCAAAAUCUAUCUUUAUCUUCCCAUCGAUUGUAGCUUCCCAGUAUAAAAAUCCUUUAAUUUUCAGCCUUUUUUUCUUCAUUUUCUCAACUUCUGCUCACUAACCUGUUCAAAAUCAAAUUCAAAUUAAAAUUUAAAUAUUUAUAUCAAAAUUACAGUAAAAUCAAGAAAUUAAAUGAGGAAAAAAAUGUGAAUUUUACAACUCAUCAG
RNAcentral lists this long non-coding RNA (314 nucleotides) under Manihot esculenta (cassava). RNAcentral's name for it is "long non-coding RNA (MESC_LNC012586)". The record is from RNAcentral. Lineage: Eukaryota; Viridiplantae; Streptophyta; Magnoliopsida; Malpighiales; Euphorbiaceae.